Molecule: ribosomal RNA, 338 nt
Filed under: Vibrio cholerae
Lineage: Bacteria; Pseudomonadati; Pseudomonadota; Gammaproteobacteria; Vibrionales; Vibrionaceae
Description: partial 23S ribosomal RNA
Rfam family: Bacterial large subunit ribosomal RNA
Source: RNAcentral
UAAGCCGUUGAAGGUGAAUCGUAAGGUUUGCUGGAGGUAUCAGAAGUGCGAAUGCUGACAUGAGUAACGACAAAGGGGGUGAAAAACCUCCUCGCCGGAAGACCAAGGGUUCCUGUCCAACGUUAAUCGGGGCAGGGUGAGUCGACCCCUAAGGUGAGGCCGAAAGGCGUAAUCGAUGGGAAACGGGUUAAUAUUCCCGUACUUCUGACUAUUGCGAUGGGGGGACGGAGAAGGCUAGGUGGGCCAGGCGACGGUUGUCCUGGUUCAAGUGCGUAGGCUUGAGAGUUAGGUAAAUCCGGCUCUCUCUAAGGCUGAGACACGACGUCGAGCUGCUACGG